This is a long non-coding RNA of Gossypium arboreum, 547 nucleotides long. RefSeq lists it as uncharacterized. The record is from RefSeq and is a predicted model, not a curated record. The transcript has 3 exons. Lineage: Eukaryota; Viridiplantae; Streptophyta; Magnoliopsida; Malvales; Malvaceae.
ACAUUUUCCGGAAAAUGUUUUCCUGGUUUUACCGUGUUUGGAUGCUUGAAAACAUUUCCAAAGGGAAAAUAUUUUACUGGACACGGGUAAAAUCCCCUUCAAUUUGGGGAAAACGUCUUACCGAUUUCAAUUGUGUAAGACAUUUUCCAUCUCCUCUUCAUCCAGGCAAAAUCUACACACACUGCUGUUUCGUUUUCUGUCUUCCCCUCUUUCUCAGGAUCUCAUUCUUCCUUGCAAGAAUGGGUAAGGGCAACAAAGAAGGGACCUCCAAGCAAUUCAGGUGGACAAAAUCGAUGGAACAUCUUUUUCUUGAAAUUUUAGCAGAGGAGGUCUAGAAAGGAAAUAAGCCUUCUAAUACUUUCAAAGCAGUUUCUAUUAAUCGAGUUGUCGAAGCUAUUUCUGAAAAAUUUCAAGUCCAAUGCGAUGCAAAACAUGUGGAAAAUCAUUUGAGGACUGUAAAAAAAUAGUGGCAGAUUAUAUGCACAAUUCGGGGUGAAAGUGGUUUUGGAUGGGAUGAUAACAUGAAAAUGAUCACAUGUGAUAGAGC